Molecule: ribosomal RNA, 253 nt
Filed under: uncultured bacterium
Lineage: Bacteria
Description: partial 16S ribosomal RNA
Rfam family: Bacterial small subunit ribosomal RNA
Source: RNAcentral
UACAGAGGGCCCAAGCGUUGUUCGGAUUCACUGGGCGUAAAGGGUGCGUAGGCGGUCGGGUAAGUCUGAUGUGAAAUCUCACAGCUUAACUGUGAAACUGCAUUGGAUACUAUUCGGCUUGAGAGUUGGAGGGGGGACUGGAAUUCUUGGUGUAGCAGUGAAAUGCGUAGAUAUCAAGAGGAACACCAGUGGCGAAGGCGAGUCCCUGGACAGCUUCUGACGCUGAGGCACGAAAGCUAGGGGAGCGAAUGGG